This 431-nucleotide ribosomal RNA is filed under the name uncultured bacterium. RNAcentral describes it as "partial 16S ribosomal RNA". It matches the Rfam family "Bacterial small subunit ribosomal RNA", at positions 29 to 506 of the family's 1533-position model. The record is from RNAcentral.
GCGAACGCUGGCGGCAGGCCUAACACAUGCAAGUCGAACGGAUCCUUCGGGAUUAGUGGCGGACGGGUGAGUAACACGUGGGAACGUGCCCUUUGGUUCGGAACAACUCAGGGAAACUUGAGCUAAUACCAGAUGUGCCCUUCGGGGGAAAGAUUUAUCGCCAUUGGAGCGGCCCGCGUCUGAUUAGCUAGUUGGUGAGGUAACGGCCCACCAAGGCGACGAUCAGUAGCUGGUCUGAGAGGAUGAUCAGCCACACUGGGACUGAGACACGGCCCAGACUCCUACGGGAGGCAGCAGUGGGGAAUCUUGCGCAAUGGGCGAAAGCCUGACGCAGCCAUGCCGCGUGAAUGAUGAAGGUCUUAGGAUUGUAAAAUUCUUUCAGCGGGGACGAUAAUGACGGUACCCGCAGAAGAAGCUCCGGCUAACUUCGU